GAUGAACGCUGGCGGCGUGCCUAAUACAUGCAAGUCGAGCGAACAGACGAGGAGCUUGCUCCUCUGACGUUAGCGGCGGACGGGUGAGUAACACGUGGAUAACCUACCUAUAAGACUGGGAUAACUUCGGGAAACCGGAGCUAAUACCGGAUAAUAUAUUGAACCGCAUGGUUCAAUAGUGAAAGACGGUUUUGCUGUCACUUAUAGAUGGAUCCGCGCCGCAUUAGCUAGUUGGUAAGGUAACGGCUUACCAAGGCAACGAUGCGUAGCCGACCUGAGAGGGUGAGCGGCCACACUGGAACUGAGACACGGUCCAGACGCCUACGGGAGGCAGCAGUAGGGAAUCUGCCGCAAUGGGCGAAAGCCUGACGGAGCAACGCCGCGUGAGUGAUGAAGGUCUUCGGAUCGUAAAACUCUGUUAUUAGGGAAGAACAAAUGUGUAAGUAACUAUGCACGUCUUGACGGUACCUAAUCAGAAAGCCACGGCUAACUACGUG
Molecule: ribosomal RNA, 497 nt
Filed under: uncultured bacterium
Lineage: Bacteria
Description: partial 16S ribosomal RNA
Rfam family: Bacterial small subunit ribosomal RNA
Source: RNAcentral